Molecule: ribosomal RNA, 460 nt
Filed under: uncultured bacterium
Lineage: Bacteria
Description: partial 16S ribosomal RNA
Rfam family: Bacterial small subunit ribosomal RNA
Source: RNAcentral
CCUACGGGAGGCAGCAGUGAGGAAUAUUGGUCAAUGGGCGCGAGCCUGAACCAGCCAAGUCGCGUGAGGGAAGACGGCCCUACGGGUUGUAAACCUCUUUUGCCGGGGAGCAACGGGCGCCACGUGUGGCGCCACUGAGAGUACCCGGAGAAAAAGCAUCGGCUAACUCCGUGCCAGCAGCCGCGGUAAUACGGAGGAUGCGAGCGUUAUCCGGAUUUAUGGGGUUAAAGGGGUGCGUAGUCGGAGCGUUAAGUCAGUGGUAAAAGUGAGGGGCUCAACCCCUUCCCGCCAUUGAAACUGGCGCUCUUGAGUGGAAGAGAAGUAUGCGGAAUGCGUGGUGUAGCGGUGAAAUGCGUAGAUAUCAGGAGGAACACCGGUGGCGAAGGCGGCCUGCUGGACUGCAACUGACGUUGAGGCCCGAAAGCGUGGGGAGCAAACAGGAUUAGAUACCCCAGUAGUC